RNAcentral lists this long non-coding RNA (471 nucleotides) under Gallus gallus (chicken). The record is from RNAcentral. Lineage: Eukaryota; Metazoa; Chordata; Aves; Galliformes; Phasianidae.
CUCUGAGGAAUGAAGCGUGCUUGCUUCCCAGCAGAGAGAGCAGGGCAGUCAAAAUCCCCCACAGGCACAUUGUUUCUAUGGUUUCAAGUUGCAGGCUGAGUAUAAAUUGGUCAGGAAACAGGUGCUGAUGAUGGGGUGUGCAGCAUAGGAACUUGGUAGCCAUUCAAAACAAGCACAGCAAGACAGCUGCUGUGCUGGGUCCGCUGCCCAUCAUGGUGACUGCUGCUCUCGCUGUUCCUUUGCACACUCUUGCUAUUUCCAUCUGUUAACUUCAUUUGCAAACUGCAAAGGCCAGAGACCAUGUUGUUUUUAUCUGUACCACCAAGAAAUCUUGGGCCAGAGACACAGCUGAUUACUGAGAAUGAAAAGCUGGAAGGCUUGGAAAAUGUCCUACCUGCUGCUAUAGGCGUAUCACAGCUCCUUCAGGACUGACCUUCCACUGCUGCCUUGUGUUUUUCCAGCCAAAAUCUC